UAAACAGAGAUUAGUAAUUGUUUGAACAACAGCAAAUCGGUCCAAAUCAACUCAGAUUUCUCUAUCUCUCUCUGUCGUCUUCCUGUUUCUCUCUCUAGGUUUUCGUUUUUGGUUGAAAGCGUACACCACUCUCGCUCUAGGGUUUUCAUUUUUUUUUGGUGUUGAUAAAGAUCAUACAACGCGUUCGAUUUCUCUGUAUUCAUUCAUCUUUGAGAAGAAGAAGAAGAAGAAGAAGAAGAAGAUGAGAACUUCAUUGAAGAAGCUACGAGGAUUCGCGCUUCACAGGCAUGGCGAUGGCAGGGGGGACAGAAGAGACCGUCGUCUUCAACAAUCUAUGGCCCAGUUGGACGAGCUUUCCCGUGCUUCCCAGGACAUGCUAGACAUGAGAGACUGCUAUGAUAGCUUGCUUUCUGCUGCAGCAGCGACAGCAAACAGUGCAUAUGAAUUCUCCGAGUCAUUAAGGGAAAUGGGUGCUUGUCUUCUUGAGAAGACUGCAUUGAAUGAUGAUGAAGAAAGUGGUAAAGUUUUGAUAAUGCUGGGAAAAGUGCAGUUUGAACUUCAGAGGCUUGUUGACAAUUAUCGUUCUCAUAUUGUCAAGACAAUCACGAGCCCAUCAGAGUCUCUUCUUAAUGAACUUCGAAUAGUUGAGGAGAUGAAGUGUCAGUGUGAUGAGAGAAGAAGUGUAUAUGAAUAUAUGAUAACAAAACAAAGAGAAAAGGGGAGGGCGAGAAGCAGUAAAGGUGAAACUUUUUCUCCUCGGGAGUUGCAAGCUGCUCAUGAUGACUUUGAUGAGGAGGCAACUUUAUUUGUAUUCCGUAUGAAAUCUCUGAAGCAAGGACAGUCCCGAAGUCUUCUUACCCAGGCAGCUCGGCACCAUGCUGCUCAGUUGUGCUUCUUCAGGAAGGCCCUCAAAUCUCUUGAAACAAUUGAACCACAUGUCAAGUCGGUCACUGAAGAACAACAUAUUGAUUACCAGUUCAGUGGACUUGAAGAUGAUGAUGGGGAUGAUGCUGACAGUGAUGAUAGUGAUUAUGAUGAUGAUGAUGAUGAUGAUGACACUGAAGACGGAAACCAUAGUGGGCAUGGUGAUGGUGAAUUAAGUUUUGACUAUGGAGAAAUUGACCAGGGGAAAAAUCUUGUUUCUACACCGAGAGACUCAAUGGAGUUGGAUCAAGUGGACAUCACAUUUCCACAAGUUGCUACAGUGAAUGCAGCAAAGGAAAAUUUAGAUAGAAACCCUGGUGGGGAUGUUUUCCCCUUCGGUAGAGACGUGAAGACAAGCAGCCAAUCGGCACCACUUACUGCUGAGAAGAAAUUUGAUCCUGCUGAACAGAUUAGACAAAUGCGGCCAAUCACACGGAAGAUUCACUCUUAUGUACUUCCAACACCAGUUGAACACCAGAGCCCAGUUUCCACAGGACCAGAUACUCAAGCUUCAAGAGCAAAACGGACAAGUUUGAGUGGUGCUUCACUUAAUUACAGGCAUUCAUCUCCUUUAGAACAGAGCAAGUACGAAAAUAUUUUUAGAAAUGAGAAAUUGUCAGGACCUAUCGUUCAAAGUCAACCAUCAGUACUCGGAGAGAGCAAUAAUAAUAAUACUACAUCGACCAGCAUACCCCCUCCUUUGACUGAGGAGCUCUCAUCACAGCAGCACGAUCAAUAUACUACUUCUGAUACUAAAAAAAUCAGAAGACAAGCUUUCUCUGGUCCGCUGACAGGUAAGUCGUGGUCGAACAAGCCAGGGUUAUCUGCCAGCAAUCCUAUUGGCGGAACAGGACCGCCUAAGCUGUUUUCUGGACCUCUUUUGCGUACUCCAGUGACUCGGCCAACGUCAGAUCCAAAAUUAUCUUCUGGUGCUUCCCCGACUCUUUUGUCAUCACCUAAAAUAAGUGAGCUUCAUGAGCUUCCAAGACCCCCAACCAAUUUAGCCUCCAAAUCUUCUGGAAGACCUUCGAAUCAAAUUGGUUAUUCAGGCCCACUGGUAUCCAAACGUCAGGAGAUACCGUCUGCAAAUAAAUUGGUAUCAAGUGUGGCAUCUCCGCUGCCAAUACCCCCUUUGAUGGUCCCUCGUAGUUUCUCUAUACCGUCCAGUAGUCAACGAGUGAGUAUGUCCAUGCCAUUGGGAGUACCACAAACUUUGAAGAAAGCUGAAGACAUUGCUUCCCCUCCUCUGAAACCAAUUUCCUUAUUGAACAUCCAGCCUGCAUCAACUUCUUAAAAAUUAGAGGUUGGAAAUGCUUUAAUGCUAUAGGAAACUCACCAUUCCGGUAUUGCGUGAAUAGGUAUACAGGUUGAUCUAAGUCAAUGCUCGUCCGGAAAUGUUUUUGUUUAAGCAAAGAUGUGGCUCUCAUUAUUAGGUACAUUGUGCAGACCUGUAAAUAUGUUUUUCUUCCAUUUUUGUAUUGUAAUCUUUGUCCAUUUAGGUAUUAAUCAUGACGAGCAACGUCAUAGAAAGCAUUAUAUUACUAAAGUCUCUUCCCUCAGAGGAGGAAUUUUGUCCCAAUUUUCUAAUUAAUUUUUUUUUUUUUUUCUUUUCAAAUUCA
Camellia sinensis is the source of this 2543-nucleotide RNA transcript. RefSeq lists it as uncharacterized. The record is from RefSeq and is a predicted model, not a curated record. Lineage: Eukaryota; Viridiplantae; Streptophyta; Magnoliopsida; Ericales; Theaceae.